CAGCCGUAAACAAUGUGCGUUAGGUGUGUCGGUAACCACGUGUUACUGAUGCGCCGAAGAGAAAUCGUGAAACGCACCACCUGGGAAGUACGGUCGCAAGGCUGAAACUUAAAGGAAUUGGCGGGGGAGCACCACAACAGGUGGAGCCUGCGGUUUAAUUGGAUUCAACGCCGGACAUCUCACCGGAUAAGACAGCUGAAUGAUUGUCAAUCUGAAGGUUUUACAUGACUAGCUGAGAGGUGGUGCAUGGCG
Molecule: ribosomal RNA, 252 nt
Filed under: uncultured archaeon
Lineage: Archaea
Description: partial 16S ribosomal RNA
Rfam family: Archaeal small subunit ribosomal RNA
Source: RNAcentral